GUCCACGCCGUAAACGAUGAGUGCUAGGCGUCGCGGGUAUUGACCCCCGCGGUGCCGCCGCAAACGCAUUAAGCACUCCGCCUGGGGAGUACGGCCGCAAGGCUAAAACUCAAAGGAAUUGACGGGGGCCUGCACAAGCGGUGGAGCAUGUGGUUUAAUUCGACGCAACGCGAAGAACCUUACCUGGGUUGGAACCCUCUCAAACGUUUUUCCAAGAGAUUGGUGAGUGCCCUUCGGGGAAUGGGAUGUUCAGGUGCUGCAUGGCUGUCGU
This 271-nucleotide ribosomal RNA is filed under the name uncultured bacterium. RNAcentral's name for it is "partial 16S ribosomal RNA". It matches the Rfam family "Bacterial small subunit ribosomal RNA", at positions 793 to 1055 of the family's 1533-position model. The record is from RNAcentral.